This 75-nucleotide transfer RNA is filed under the name Cyclobacteriaceae bacterium. RNAcentral describes it as "tRNA-Val". It matches the Rfam family "tRNA". From Rfam's summary of the family: Transfer RNA (tRNA) molecules are approximately 80 nucleotides in length. Their secondary structure includes four short double-helical elements and three loops (D, anti-codon, and T loops). Lineage: Bacteria; Pseudomonadati; Bacteroidota; Cytophagia; Cytophagales; Cyclobacteriaceae. The record is from RNAcentral.
GGGUGUUUAGCUCAGUUGGUUUAGAGCGCUACGUUGACAGCGUAGAGGUCAGCAGUUCGAAUCUGCUAAUACCCA